CAUAUAUUUGAGUUUUCUUGUAUGAGAGUGCAGAAAAUCCAGUAGAAAAAAAGAAGAAAUUCGCAACAAAUCGCAACAAAGAUUAUGAAGUUGACGGAUCCGUCUCACGGUUGGACUCUCACCUACCGACCACAACCAGCGCAUCGGCAUGUCCGGCAUGCGUUACACCCGCUGAAAAAGUGCAGAAGCUCGCCCGCUAGUGAUUGGUUCCUGAUGGCGGCGACAACCAAUUACGAGGAUGGGGAUCAUUUGGUUGGACGUGAUUUGGCACGGGUCAGUUGUCAGUAGCUGCUGGAUGCUGGAUUUUUACGGUGGCUAACCUUCCCGGAAGGACACUCUGGUCAAACAAUUUGAUGUGCGCAUAUGAAAUUCCUCUUAUGUUCCUACGGUUCCAGCUCCAGGAUCACCCCAGAUGAUUUUUGAAAGUUUACAAUUCUAUUUUUUAUGAGAUUUUUUGAAAUAAAGUACAUGGAAGAAAGCAAAACAU
Molecule: long non-coding RNA, 487 nt
Organism: Uranotaenia lowii
Lineage: Eukaryota; Metazoa; Arthropoda; Insecta; Diptera; Culicidae
Exons: 3
Source: RefSeq, a predicted model, not a curated record